RNAcentral lists this ribosomal RNA (467 nucleotides) under uncultured bacterium. Its description in RNAcentral is "bacterial SSU rRNA". It matches the Rfam family "Bacterial small subunit ribosomal RNA", at positions 339 to 797 of the family's 1533-position model. The record is from RNAcentral.
AUACGGGAGGCAGCAGUGGGGAAUAUUGCGCAAUGGGGGAAACCCUGACGCAGCAACGCCGCGUGAGUGAGGAAGGACUUCGGUCUGUAAAGCUCUGUUAAUGUGGAAAAAUGGUAGUUGGUCUAAUAGGCCGGCUAUUUGAUGGUACACAUAGAGGAAGCACCGGCUAACUUCGUGCCAGCAGCCGCGGUAAUACGAAGGGUGCAAGCGUUGUUCGGAUUUAUUGGGCGUAAAGCGCGCGUAGGCGGACCUGUAAGUCAGAUGUGAAAUCUCGGGGCUCAACCUCGAAACUGCGUCUGAAACUGCAGGUCUAGAAUCUUGGAGGGGGAAGGGGAAUUUCGCAUGUAGGGGUAAAAUCCGUAGAUAUGCGAAGGAACACCAGAGGCGAAGGCGCCUUCCUGGACAAGUAUUGACGCUGAGGCGCGAAAGCGUGGGGAUCAAACAGGAUUAGAAACCCGUGUAGUCCG